Long non-coding RNA from Triplophysa dalaica, 442 nucleotides. RefSeq lists it as uncharacterized. NCBI's taxonomy places the organism in Eukaryota, Metazoa, Chordata, Actinopteri, Cypriniformes, Nemacheilidae. The transcript is spliced from 3 exons. The record is from RefSeq and is a predicted model, not a curated record.
CAAGAACUGAUCAUAUCGUAACGCAAAGAAAAGAAACAAACACUAGCAAGGAUUUCGACCCCACUUUUCGAUUUGGCUGAAAGGCAACUCGGCUAAAUAAAAGGAAAUACUACCAACGGCCACGAGUCAUUGGUGUAUUGUGUCCAGUAACUGCAAAAUUGAAUCGGGUCUCAUCAAUUGUUGUUGGGUGGCCAUUUAAGGUCGCCAAAGGGGAUGGCCCGAGAACAUUGGGGUUGAAAAGUUUCACAAUGUCUGGGAUGGAAUUGUAAGAUGAGGAAACUUGACGAUACUCAAUAGGGAUUUCCAAAACAGUGGAACCAUUGGCACCUAUGGCAGUCUGACAACAUGGAAAACAAAAAAAUUAUGGAAGAGAGCCUCAGUCUAAGUGACAUACCAAUUUUAAACUUAAAAAGGUUUUUUGGGAAAUACUGUGUAUGUGCCU